Sesamum indicum (sesame) is the source of this 413-nucleotide long non-coding RNA. RefSeq lists it as uncharacterized. The record is from RefSeq and is a predicted model, not a curated record. Lineage: Eukaryota; Viridiplantae; Streptophyta; Magnoliopsida; Lamiales; Pedaliaceae.
CAGUUACACCUCUAUAAAAACACCUACAAACACAUCUAUUAGUCCAUCACAAUUAAACACAGACUUAGUAGAGAAGGAUGGAUGCUCCAGGGUAUCAAGACAUGUCGUAUGUUGAUCAUGUCAAAAGGAGACAUGAGGAGAAAGGCUGCCUCUAUGCAUGUUUGUUCGCGUUGUGUUGCUGUUUUUGUUGUUUUGAGACAUGUGAAUGUUGUCUGGACAUUUGCUGCUGCAACUGUGGUUGAGUUCUUGCAUGGAGGAUUGGUGCUGCAAGAAUCUUGUGUUAGUAUUGUACUAUGUUUGGAGAGGGAAUAAUGGGGAUAUGUUAAAAUUAAGAACUUGGAUUUGUUAGAUAUGUAUACCAUAUUUUGUGUUAAUUUUGAAGUUGUUAAAUCAUAAUGUGAUUUUGUGUGGAA